This 253-nucleotide ribosomal RNA is filed under the name uncultured bacterium. RNAcentral describes it as "partial 16S ribosomal RNA". It matches the Rfam family "Bacterial small subunit ribosomal RNA", at positions 524 to 776 of the family's 1533-position model. The record is from RNAcentral.
UACGGGGGGGGGCAAGCGUUGUUCGGAAUUACUGGGCGUAAAGGGCUCGUAGGUGGCCAACUAAGUCAGACGUGAAAUCCCUCGGCUUAACCGGGGAACUGCGUCUGAUACUGGAUGGCUUGAGUUCGGGAGAGGAUGCGGAAUUCCAGGUGUAGCGGUGAAAUGCGUAGAUAUCUGGAGGAACACCAGUGGCGAAAGCGGCUUUCUGGUCCUUAACUGACGCUGAGGCGCGAAAGCACGGGGAGCGAACGGG